This 74-nucleotide transfer RNA is filed under the name Alphaproteobacteria bacterium. RNAcentral describes it as "tRNA-Gly". It matches the Rfam family "tRNA". Rfam says of the family: Transfer RNA (tRNA) molecules are approximately 80 nucleotides in length. Their secondary structure includes four short double-helical elements and three loops (D, anti-codon, and T loops). Further hydrogen bonds mediate the characteristic L-shaped molecular structure. tRNAs have two regions of fundamental functional importance: the anti-codon, which is responsible for specific mRNA codon recognition, and the 3' end, to which the tRNAs corresponding amino acid is attached (by aminoacyl-tRNA synthetases). tRNAs cope with the degeneracy of the genetic code in two manners: having more than one tRNA (with a specific anti-codon) for a particular amino acid; and 'wobble' base-pairing, i.e. permitting non-standard base-pairing at the 3rd anti-codon position. Lineage: Bacteria; Pseudomonadati; Pseudomonadota; Alphaproteobacteria. The record is from RNAcentral.
GCGGGUGUAGUUCAACGGUAGAACGAAAGCUUCCCAAGCUUUAGACGGGGGUUCGACUCCCCUCACCCGCUCCA